Molecule: transfer RNA, 94 nt
Filed under: Hypoxylon sp. FL1857
Lineage: Eukaryota; Fungi; Ascomycota; Sordariomycetes; Xylariales; Hypoxylaceae
Description: tRNA-Pro
Rfam family: tRNA
About the family: Transfer RNA (tRNA) molecules are approximately 80 nucleotides in length. Their secondary structure includes four short double-helical elements and three loops (D, anti-codon, and T loops).
Source: RNAcentral
GGUCUGAUGGUCUAGUGGUAGGAUUCUCGCUUUGGGUUGGGUCUCCUCAGCCGCAAAAUGCGAGAGGUCCCGGGUUCAAUCCCCGGUCAGACCC